RNAcentral lists this ribosomal RNA (270 nucleotides) under uncultured prokaryote. Its description in RNAcentral is "partial 16S ribosomal RNA". It matches the Rfam family "Bacterial small subunit ribosomal RNA", at positions 524 to 792 of the family's 1533-position model. The record is from RNAcentral.
GACGAAGGUGGCAAGCGUUGUUCGGAAUCACUGGGCUUAAAGAGCACGUAGGCGGCUCAUCAAGCGUCCUGUGAAAUCCCUCGGCUCAACCGAGGAACUGCUGGGCGAACUGAUCGGGCUUGAGGCAGGUAGGGGCGCAUGGAACUCUUGGUGGAGCGGUGGAAUGCGUAGAUAUCAAGAGGAACGCCGGUGGCGAAAGCGGUGCGCUGGGCCUGACCUGACGCUGAGGUGCGAAAGCCAGGGGAGCAAACGGGAUUAGAUACCCGAGUA